GCUGGGGGACAAUGGCAGUAAGUGGAAGGGACGCGCUCCGAGGGCUGCGGGGGGCUCAGCCUUACCUGCCAUCCCGCUCCGAUCUCCGGACCCCACUCCGCCGCACCCGCCCCGGCAGCUGCUGCUCCGGACUAAAGUUGAUCUCCGGAAGGAUGUGGUUCACCAGCAACUUCUCUUCUGAAAUACGACUGCUUUCAGAUCCCCAGAGAUGAAUGGGGUUGUAUGGGGGUACCCGGUGGGGCUUCUCUUGGGGCUGGUGGAGGCGCUUCCUCUGGUCCCCACUGUGUUAUUUUCAGAGCCGACCACAACCCCCUCCGAGACAAGUUUUGAGACUCACUCCCAACAUUUUCCUCUGUACAUCACACAGCUUCGCCGCUUCUGCUGUUACACACCCAUUGAGCAAACACCAGGCACACGCACACGCAAGGCUUCUGGCAAAUACCACCUCCUCUCACAUGGCAUCUGUCCCACCUGCUGACACCCGGGUGUUUGAAUUCUCUGCUGACUCACUCAUUCCCCCUGCUAGGGGGUCCCCCUCCCUCGCACCGCCCCCUCCCUCUGGAUGCAGGACCACCAGCCAGGUCCCCAGGCAGGACAUGGCUCCAUCUCCAGCCCUUACCUCCAGCCAGAGGCGUCCAGUUGCAAAUGAGUGAUCAAAAACAAGUAGGAGCAAGGCUGCCUGCAGGGAAGGGUUCUGACUCAAGCCCUGUCAAUUUGUGCCUGCUAGUUAUUCUCUUGCAAACAUCCCAGGUCUCUCUCUCUCUCUCUCUCUCUCUCUCUCUAGAGAAAAGAUUUCCUGAGCAGGAUAUUAUGUGGUGAUAGAAGAUAAGAUCUUCUCCCCUUACAAUAAAAGCCCCAAACAGCUUUGGUUUUUCUCAUUCACCCAGACAGAAGCAAACUUAAGGAAGGCUCUCCUCCACCCGCCCUGACCCCACCGGCAACGGCUGCGAUGCUUUGUGACUCAGAGCACACAGAAAUCAGACAGAGCGCUUCCCACAUCAAGCAUUAUCUGUCGCAUCGAUUCUCAGAGGUGGGCAGGAGCCCCGUGAGCUGCAGACCACCCCCAAAAGCCAACAGAGAGCUCCUGAGAGGAGGGAGAUGUCCCAUCCCAUGCUUUGGCCAUGGAACGGGGGCACAGCAGUGAGGAUCUCGCCCUUUGGAGGACAGCUGUGCCAGACAGCCCACUUUCAAUCACAAAAUCAGAAUAUCCCAAAUCAGAAGGAACCCAUAGGGAUCAUCGAAUCCAACAGGACAACCCAAAAACCAGACCAGUUUGCCCCAGUGUCACCACACCUCACAGCCAGGUGUCACGUUUCCACCUUGGCUCUGUCGGUAGUGCCAACUUCUGUGCUGAUGCGGUUGACUUCACGCCAAGAAUGCCACUGUGCACUCUGUUGUCUGGCUGGGUUGGUGGUUUCGUGUUUUGUUUUCUUUGGUUUUUUUUCUUUUUUUUUUUUUUCUUUUUUUUCAAAUCCUGACCAAAAUAGUUGCACGGUAAGACUUUCCAAACACCGCCGGCUCACACAGGAAACCUAUGACAGGCCAGCGAAUGGUGGGUGAGCAUGCAGUGUUUCCACUGAGAGAGGAAGGGCUUAGCACAUAUGGCCCACAACACAGUGGGUCUUCUGUGAGGUCUACAAACCUGCCCAGGAUCCUCCUACCUUACACGAGCCUUACAUCGCAAUGCCUUCAAUAAAACACUCCUUGUUUUCAUAGGAUCAUAAAACCAUAGAAUGGCUUGGGUUGGAGGGAACCUUAAAGAUCACCAAGUUCCAACCCCCUGCCACAGACAGGGUUGCCAACAACUAGACCUGGCCCAUCAAACCGUGUUAUUUUUCUUAUAGCCCAGGGAUUUGUGAAGAUUUACACCUUCCAAUGAUUUUUCAGGAGGGAGGUAAUGCUGAAGUCCCUGCUGGUCUCCAUGGUCAAGUUCAGAGAGCUUGAAACCACCCCUCCUGAACCAUCCCUCCCCAUAUUGGCUGCCCAACACCACUCUGUGUCACAAAGCCUCUCAGCAGUUUUGUUCCUCUGUGGAACAAAUGCUCAGAAGAUGUCGUGAAACAGAAUUCUCGACUCCAGCACGGUCUGAUCACUGCCUCACACCAGCUUAACUAACAGACACCAAAAAUAAAAAAAACACUUUUAUUUUUCCUA
Gallus gallus (chicken) is the source of this 2154-nucleotide long non-coding RNA. RefSeq lists it as uncharacterized. NCBI's taxonomy places the organism in Eukaryota, Metazoa, Chordata, Aves, Galliformes, Phasianidae. The record is from RefSeq and is a predicted model, not a curated record. The transcript is spliced from 3 exons.